GACGAACGCUGGCGGCGUGCUUAACACAUGCAAGUCGAACGGAAAGGCCCUGCUUUUGUGGGGUGCUCGAGUGGCGAACGGGUGAGUAACACGUGAGUAACCUGCCCUUGACUUUGGGAUAACUUCAGGAAACUGGGGCUAAUACCGGAUAGGAGCUCCUGCUGCAUGGUGGGGGUUGGAAAGUUUCGGCGGUUGGGGAUGGACUCGCGGCUUAUCAGCUUGUUGGUGGGGUAGUGGCUUACCAAGGCUUUGACGGGUAGCCGGCCUGAGAGGGUGACCGGCCACAUUGGGACUGCGAUACGGCCCAGAAUCCUACGGGAGGCAGCAGUGGGGAAUAUUGCACAAUGGGCGGAAGCCUGAUGCAGCAACGCCGCGUGCGGGAUGACGGCCUUCGGGUUGUAAACCACUUUCGCCUGUGACGAAGCGUGAGUGACGGUAAUGGGUAAAGAAGCACCGGCUAACUACGUG
RNAcentral lists this ribosomal RNA (468 nucleotides) under uncultured bacterium. Its description in RNAcentral is "partial 16S ribosomal RNA". It matches the Rfam family "Bacterial small subunit ribosomal RNA", at positions 28 to 507 of the family's 1533-position model. The record is from RNAcentral.